GGGAUGACACAGUAGGAUAAGCUAAGCACACUGUUGGUUAUGUGUGCCCAAGCAUUGAGGCAGUCAGAGUAGGUAAAUCCGCUUUGAUAAUGCUGGGAUGUGAUGGGGAGCGAAAUUUAGUAGCGAAGUAGCUGAUUUCACACUGUCAAGAAAAGUCUCUAUCGAGGUUAAAGGUACCCGUACCGCAAACCGACACAGGUGGGUGAGGAGAGUAUCCUAAGGCCCGCGAGAGAACUGUUGUUAAGGAACUCGGCAAAAU
Molecule: ribosomal RNA, 259 nt
Filed under: Clostridioides difficile
Lineage: Bacteria; Bacillati; Bacillota; Clostridia; Peptostreptococcales; Peptostreptococcaceae
Description: partial 23S ribosomal RNA
Rfam family: Bacterial large subunit ribosomal RNA
Source: RNAcentral